UCGCAGCCCAGCAAUUUUCAAAUCUUCCCUCUGAGCUCCCGUCGGCGAACUUUCUCUCUGGCGUCGUCGUCUUCUCCCCGUUGAGCGUUAACCGUUAGCUCCUACCUCGGAAUCAACUGUAAAUCAAUUCAAUCGUAAAUUGUCAAAAGUAAUACUGAGCAGAUUUUGCAAUGUCUCCGCCUGCUAAAAAAAGUUCUACUGAAGCUAAGGAGAAAGAUCUUAUCCUCGACAACGACAUGGAAAAAGAUACAUGGAGCUUUAAGUCAAUGGCGGAUGAUCCGAUGGAUUUUGCCUUUGGGUCGCCAGCUAACAAGAAGAAGAAUGCCUUCAAGCUGGAUAUGGGUUUCGAUUUUGAUGGAGAUUUUGGAAAUUCAUCAUCAUUCAAAAUGGAUAUGCCAGACUUCGAUUUCUCCAGCCCAGCCAAGAAAACCACAAAAGCGAAAGAAAGCCCUGGUGAUAAAUCUAGUGGAGAUUUAAAGCAGAAAAAGAAUCCAUUUCACUUCUCUUAUGACUUUGAUGCGUUGGACGACUUUAAUCUUGAUUCAAGCCCACCGAAGAAGGGAACCAAGACAACGACCAAGGUCAUGGAUUUCGAAGAAAUUGAUAAGUCUGGCUCUUUGGACUUUGGUCACGACUCACCGAUAACUAGACAAGCUGCCUCCGUGUCAAACACCGAUGUCAAGGAAAAAGCUUCUGCUGAAAAAGAGAACCUAAAUUCCAAGACUACAGAUACUAUGGUUGUGGAGAGUAGCGCACACUCGAAGCAAGCUACAGAAGAGAGGAUGGAGAACUCUGAGGCUGUGGAAUCACCCCAAGGUCUAAGGAUAAAAACCUCAACUACUCAUACAAUGUGUCUGCAACCUCAAUCUGUAGACGCUUCACCAUUGAAGACAUCAUGUGUAAUGCUUGAAGACACAGAUGAUCCAUGUCUUUCAAACGAGACCGCAGCACCCUCGCCAUUACAUGCUUCUGAGACUACACAUACUGCUGCAAACAGAGAAAUCAGUCCAGAUAUCAACGAAAUCUGCAGGUCUAGCUCAAAAGAAGACUCUCCUAGAGAUCCAGAACAGAAUGCAAACAAAGAUAUGAUUUCCGCAAUGGACACAAGCUAUGAAAAGGCUGAACAGACUAAACCAAGCAUCUCAUCUCAGUUAUGUUUGGACAAAAUGGAUUGGCAACAGGAAGAAAUGGGUAUAGGCACUCAGGCAGAAAAGCAGGAUCACACUAGAAGAACAUCAUCUGAUCCAGAUCAUGGACAUCCUCAAACAACUCUCUCAGGAAAAAUAUCACCAAGCUCUCGUCAAAGCCAAGCUGCUCAAGUACAAGAUUCGAGUGGAAAACUACCACUGGAUACAUCCCACAGCGUGCCAGGGCUCAGUGAUUUAAAAAUCACCCAAAACAAAGACUCAGGACUUAUCAGAUCCAAAUUUUUUAAGAAGACAGAAAAACCACAAUCCCAUGUACUGAAGUCCUCUCUAACUCAAACAGAGAGUCGGCCAGUGACCCGAGAAAAGAUUGCGGUUAAUAUGAACCUUACAAAUGAUAGAAGACAUGAUAUCCAAGAUGUGUUGCCUGGAUCCAAAACUAGAACAUGUCCAGUUGAGCUUGUGAAAACGGAUUCUGAAAUAGCAAAUGUCAAUUCUAUCAGCAGGUCUCAUAAAAAGAUAAUCCACAAGGACCAUUCAAAUGUCAAGACUGCAGAAAAUGUGGCUGCACAGUUGGAUCAUUUAAAGAUGCAAUCUAAAAAUACAACUAGAGAGAAGUCUAUCUUGCAGAUCAAUAUAAGCUCAAAACUCGAUGCUUCUAGCUUGACUCAGAAGCUAAGUAAAAAUUUGAGUUCUGGAGCAGAAUCUUUGCAGAAGUCCAAGUUGGUAUCUCUUGAAAGGCCUAAACUUGGAAAUAUGAUGUUUGAUCUGCUUUCUGCGAAAACUCAAAGGACCAUUGGAGUAACUAAAGACCAAUCCAGUUCGUUCGUGCAACCAGUAGUGAACUCUACAACAGGCAAGGAGAGAAAUACCGAAGCAUCAGUUAAAAGAGGCUCUGAGACUCACCAUUUGGCUCCUAGAGACAAAACUCAACUCCUGGACUACCCAUCUUCUUUAAAGCGGAAAGCUCUUGAUGAGGAUGCAGAUAGAUCUCUGAAGCCACAACUUAAACGAUUUUCCAUGUCUCCAAGGGAAAACAGGAACGCUGAGGAUCUCACACAUAGAGUUGCGCAAGGAAAGUUCUCAAGCCAAGAGAGUAGAAUAGAUAAUAACACAACCAAGGAGCUUGUCGGAAAAAGUCCACGGAGUACGUCUCAUCACCAGAUGGGAAACAUGGCAAAUCUGGAAAUCCCGGUCACUGAGAAUUCUGAUAACAUAGAGAAAGCUGAAGCAUAUACAAAAGAACUCGAGAGUAUAUGCAACACUCUGAAGAAGAAGCAUGAGGAAGCGAAAGAGUUGCUUGUCCGUGCUAUAGUAAACAACAAUAAGCUACUGAUGCUCAACCAUCCUUUACAUGAAGACAAGAUUCGUAUGAUCCAGAAGUUCGCAGCCAAGUUGAGUUUGAGGGACACUCAAACCACCACUGUUGCUUAAGAGGUUCAGUGUGGACUUACACCAAUACUAUAUGAUCAACAGUACAGAAGUGUUGACUUCACAUUAGUCCAAGCCUCAGUUGCCACCGGAAGCCGCCCUCUUGAGCGGACUCCAGUCGUGGUGAAGGUGAGAGAGUUAAGCACUUCUAUUGAGUGUACAAGCCCAACUGUAGCAGAUGGUCAAGCUUCAGGGGGCAGUGGCAGUCAGGUAAAAACUCCGGAACGUUUAAGCCCAGGAGGAUCGGACCCGGAACAUCAUUAGGGUUUCCUUUAAAAUUGAGAGUUGUUCUCAUUUUCUUCCAGAUGUGUAUUUCUUAUUAUCAAUAAUUUGGUUGCAAUGAAUCUGUUUUUUUCCUUUGUCAUAAGAUACGAAUACGUGUUUGUAAGAUCAUUACAAAGGUAUAACAGUUGUAUUGAUCACACAUAAUACAUUAUUCUAAUUUCCUUAUCGUACGUUAGAUAUUGAAUUUCGCUAUUUUACGUUACAUAUUAUAUAUUUUGUUUUGCUUUGACUGAGAUAAGGACCGUAUCAUUAGUAUCCUUUAUUUUUUGGAACACGUUUUUCUUUUAGCUCUAUUACUUUUUGCCUUUACGAUAUAUAUAACAAUGCAAGGGAGGUUGAUUUAGAUGUUCCUGACUUUGCGCCUUUACAAUAUAUAUAGCAAUGCAAGGUGCGAGCCCGCCUUAUGAUUAUAUCGUGUUUUAUGCUGAUUGUGACUAGCAUGUUGAAAAGCAAAAGUAAAACGAACAAGUAAGUUGUAACUUCUAACAAAAAAAAAAAAUCAAGCAAAUACGUAUUCUUUCUUUGUUUUUAAUCGAAACACAGUAGAAUGGCUUGAAUGUACAAUUUACAUGUGGUCGAUUUAGAUUGUCUGGGCAUAGCAGAUCAUUAAGCCGCAUUUUAAUUGAUGGCGAUUAGCUUAUCAAAGAAAGGAUUAAACAGUUGAAGACAAUGAUUAAAACAAACAAAUUCAAGUUACAUAUCUUAUAUUCACCUCUGGAUUCUUAACUGAUAGGAACCUUUUUCUGAUUAAAGGAGCUUCUUACAUUAACAAAAAAAUAAACACUAUUGGAAGCAAUAUAUUAAAAUGGUUUUUGAUUUCUUCUCAUAGUUAAAUCGUGUAUUAGUUUGUAUAGAUACGGGAAAUCUAUAAAUAUAACACUAGAAAGUUGAUUUUGAUAUAUAAUUUAAGUUCUAUAAAAUAGAUAUUAGCUGAUUUAACAAAUAUUCAAUAUAUAAAAUUUAAUUUCUAUAACUAAGAGUAAAUUUUUUAGCAAAAGAAAAAAAAAACUAAGAGUAAAUUGAUGGCGGAUUAAGUAGUGCAAGUAAUCUUUGAUGGCUGGUUAAGUAGUGUAAGUAAUUUUCAAAUAUUUAUGGGCGAUACUAUAUUGUUCUUCAUUGUAUCUAUGGUUAAAACUUCUAUUGAAGUCAAAAAUCUUGUAUUCGAGUAUUGAUUAACAAAAAUUUGAUGUGUUGCCAAUAAAAUAUCAUAGUCUAGUCUGGUGGUGAUUAAAUUAAGAGCAAAAAUCUAAUACGGUAAAUUUUGGUUCGAAUUCGGGCACUAUCAAACCGCCUUCCCUUUUCUAUCUUUUUUUUUUUUCUCGAAAAUUUUUCUUUUUCUAUCUUAUCGGAAUUUCAUGAAUCUCUCUUCGUCUAUUACCAUUACCUUGUUUUUAAAACUCUCUCUCACACACACACAGACACACACACACAUAUAUAUAUAUAUAUAUAUAAAUAUAAUUUGUUUGUGCGCAUGCUUAUAUUAUUAUAUAUACUAUCACUGGCUAGGGACGGUCGAAUUAGACAUAGUGUGGCUUUUUUUGGUGUUAAAGAUUUGUGCUUUGUGGACAUACACAAAUGAUUAAAUGCUUAUUAUAAUUAGCAUUCCAAACCGUCUCUUAUCGCUCUUUUUGAUAGAUCAGUGUAACUAUAUAAGAUUCUUAAGAUUCAUAUCUUUAUUCUUUUAAGAUUCAAAUUUUUCUUACUUGAUGAUACAAUUACCGAAAAUAGUCACGUAAAUGGAUAGAACUUUAUGAUCAAACUUCUUAUUUUAAUAUUUCUCAUUUCACUGAAUUAGGGUUUAGUAGUCAUUUAGUUUCGAUUAUAUAAACACGUCAGUUGCGGUGACCUAACAAAAUCAGCAAGUAUUGUAAACGGAUGAUCGCAUGCAUGCCUGAUAUAUGACUCAAUAAUGGUUUGGAAAAUAUUGACACGCCGUGAUAAAAGAUCUUAUUAAAUUCAGAACUCGUAAAUGCUUCAUUAUAGCUAAUUAAGAUUGAUUUAAAUUGAUUAUAAGUAAAUUACAUGUUGGUUUGCCAUUUGUUUAGACCAGUAUUCUAAAAAUAAUUAAGUUUAGGUGCAGUCAUAAGUAAAACGAUUUUUGUGAAUAUAUCUUUUUAAGAAUCGGUUUAAAUGGAGACUAUACUUUCGACCAGCACUAAUCUCAUAUGAAACGUCUAAUUAGCACCUAAAGAUUUUUGAACAUAACUUGGUUUCGACUAAAUUAAUUGAGGGAACCGAUUCUUGCAUUUUAACCACUACGAUUACAUUCAUAUAGUUGUUUUGGUAUUAGUACAAAAUUCAUCCUUUGAGACCAUCUCCAAUGGUUUCCCUCAUUUUUUCCUUCAAAAUGAUGUAAACUCAAAAUGAGGUUGUGAUUUGUUCCAAUGGUUCCCCUCAUUUUCUCCCUCAAUUCUUAUUAUAUUCAUUUUUCAACUUUUUAUUUAUUGCAAAUAACACCUUUUAUUUUAUAAGAUUUUAGACUAUACUCAUUUAUUUUUAAAUUCUACAAUUUAACCAAACUUUAACUUAUAAAAAACAAAUAUUUAUUACAUUAAUAAAGUUACAUAACAACAUACAAA
Brassica rapa (field mustard) is the source of this 5440-nucleotide RNA transcript. RefSeq lists it as uncharacterized. Lineage: Eukaryota; Viridiplantae; Streptophyta; Magnoliopsida; Brassicales; Brassicaceae. The record is from RefSeq and is a predicted model, not a curated record.